RNAcentral lists this ribosomal RNA (356 nucleotides) under uncultured bacterium. RNAcentral's name for it is "bacterial SSU rRNA". It matches the Rfam family "Bacterial small subunit ribosomal RNA", at positions 8 to 350 of the family's 1533-position model. The record is from RNAcentral.
AGAGUUUGAUCAUGGCUCAGGAUGAACGCUAGCUACAGGCUUAACACAUGCAAGUCGAGGGGAAACGACAUCGAAAGCUUGCUUUUGAUGGGCGUCGACCGGCGCACGGGUGAGUAACGCGUAUCCAACCUGCCCACCACUUGGGGAUAACCUUGCGAAAGUAAGACUAAUACCCAAUGACGUCUCUAGAAGACAUCUGAAAGGGAUUAAAGAUUUAUCGGUGAUGGAUGGGGAUGCGUCUGAUUAGCUUGUUGGCGGGGUAACGGCCCACCAAGGGCUACGAUCAGUAGGGGGUUCUGGAGAGGAAGGUCCCCCACAUUGGAACUGAGACACGGUCCAAACUCCUACGGGAAGCA